CUGGCCCAUAGGCCAGGCUGCAUGCCGCUGGAGUGUUUGGGUAGCCGCGCUGGCCGCGGGGUCCCCUGUAUCUGGGGUUUGGUCCAGUGACCAGACCCGUCCCCGUCAUGGGGUUGAGUGGCAGCACUGGGGUUCACCUUACUGCCAAUACCUGCUUCAUUUUAUUGUAUGUGCACUUGUGCCUGAGAGAGCCCUUACCAACCCCUUAGGUGCUCGUUUAAACGAUGUAUCGUCGGGACGACGAUACAUCUUGGGGGGGAAGAAUGUAGUAGGGUAGACUGACUGUUGGCCCUGUGUCUUCCCUCUGGCCUGCCUUGCUAACGAGGGGCGGGGCAAUAACCCUUAAUUGGUUAACUGGCUCUGCAGCCUAUUUAAGAGCUUGGAUGGUUAGCAACAGUGUAGGCUCUGCUGCGAGAAGGUGUGUGCGAGCACACCAGAGCCUUCCACCAGCUGGGUGCCCUGCCUGUCCGGACCACGGCAGGGGUGAUGUUGCCUGCCUCUCCGGACUGCUACAGUUGGUCAGGCUGCUGUCUUGUCUUCCUUUAGUUUUGUUUGAUGUUUGAUUUACUAUUUUGUCUGUUACUUUUGGUUUGAUUGUCUUUGUCCAUUGUCUUUCUUUUGUGAGCAGGCAGAGUGUUAAUGGGGGGGGGGGCCUAGUCACCUGCUGGGGAACUAGAGUGUGUGUACUGAGAGUUGCUUGCUGUGGAGAGUUGCACUACUUAACACUUUCAUACUGGAGAAUUGCUGUGUUUGAUAUAAACUGGUCACCGUUGAUAUUAGCCUGCCCCCUCAGGCCAGCUCUGUCUGUCUCUGUUGAAUGUCUGUCUUUUGUGUUCAAUAAAUUGUUUAUUUAAGGAAUUCAUGUCUCCAAAUAUGCUUUUAAGAACCUGUGCAGCUC
Long non-coding RNA from Sardina pilchardus (European sardine), 898 nucleotides. RefSeq lists it as uncharacterized. NCBI's taxonomy places the organism in Eukaryota, Metazoa, Chordata, Actinopteri, Clupeiformes, Clupeidae. The record is from RefSeq and is a predicted model, not a curated record. The transcript has 2 exons.